Molecule: non-coding RNA, 95 nt
Organism: Hysterangium stoloniferum
Lineage: Eukaryota; Fungi; Basidiomycota; Agaricomycetes; Hysterangiales; Hysterangiaceae
Source: the annotation of a GenBank genome assembly
GCCUCGUUAGCUCAAUCGGUAGAGCGUCAGACUUUUACAGUCCCUCUGACCGGAUAAGAGUCUUAAGGUUGCAGGUUCGACUCCUGCGUGAGGCA